This 253-nucleotide ribosomal RNA is filed under the name uncultured bacterium. RNAcentral describes it as "partial 16S ribosomal RNA". It matches the Rfam family "Bacterial small subunit ribosomal RNA", at positions 524 to 776 of the family's 1533-position model. The record is from RNAcentral.
UACGAAGGGGGCUAGCGUUGUUCGGAAUUACUGGGCGUAAAGGGCGCGUAGGCGGCCUGUUAAGUCGAACGUGAAAUCCCCGGGCUCAACCCGGGAACUGCGUCCGAAACUGGCAGGCUCGAAUCCGGGAGAGGGAUGCGGAAUUCCAGGUGUAGCGGUGAAAUGCGUAGAUAUCUGGAGGAACAUCGGUGGCGAAGGCGGCAUCCUGGACCGGUAUUGACGCUGAGGCGCGAAAGCCAGGGGAGCAAACGGG